Molecule: ribosomal RNA, 484 nt
Filed under: uncultured bacterium
Lineage: Bacteria
Description: partial 16S ribosomal RNA
Rfam family: Bacterial small subunit ribosomal RNA
Source: RNAcentral
AUUGAACGCUGGCGGCAGGCCUAACACAUGCAAGUCGAGCGGAUGAAGGGAGCUUGCUCCUGUAUUCAGCGGCGGACGGGUGAGUAAUGCCUAGGAAUCUGCCUGGUCGUGGGGGAUAACGUCCGGAAACGGGCGCUAAUACCGCAUACGUCCUGAGGGAGAAAGUGGGGGAUCUUCGGACCUCACGCUAUCAGAUGAGCCUAGGUCGGAUUAGCUAGUUGGUGGGGUAAAGGCCUACCAAGGCGACGAUCCGUAACUGGUCUGAGAGGAUGAUCAGUCACACUGGAACUGAGACACGGUCCAGACUCCUACGGGAGGCAGCAGUGGGGAAUAUUGAACAAUGGGCGAAAGCCUGAUCCAGCCAUGCCGCGUGUGUGAAGAAGGUCUUCGGAUUGUAAAGCACUUUAAGUUGGGAGGAAGGGCAGUAAGUUAAUACCUUGCUGUUUUGACGUUACCAACAGAAUAAGCACCGGCUAACUUCGUG